Molecule: long non-coding RNA, 1863 nt
Organism: Mus musculus (house mouse)
Lineage: Eukaryota; Metazoa; Chordata; Mammalia; Rodentia; Muridae
Product: predicted gene, 51442
Exons: 2
Source: RefSeq, a predicted model, not a curated record
UUAAUAUUCCUUACAAAGGAUCAAGCAUCCCACACUCCUUGCAGGACUCUAGCCAGCCUGAGCAUGGUACACAUGGCUCUGGCAGGCUUUGUCUUUCUUCACCUGUUCUCUCUGCCUUGCUAAAAAACCAUUCGAUUAUAUUCCUGUAGCUAGCCUCCAAGUCUAUUUCUUUAUUUGGUCACUUCCUCCUCUUGAGACUGACUAUAAAGGUCCAGCUAUCAAACUAUUGAAGUUCAGCAAUCAAAAGUCCCCUUUGGCUGUUUUAAUUUACAUGCCUAAUUAGAACUAAACACCUCAUCCUUACAGGGGGUUCCCCUUCUACCCUUUCUUUCUAAAUCACCAUUUUCCUAAGGGCCGUGUCUGUCUCCUCUCUACCCACGGGCAGUCCUUUGUUCCUCUGGGAUAAAUACCCCUCUUCCUCAUUCCCUUUCCCUUCUCUCUCAUCCUCUAACUCCUGUCUUUGUCUCCUUAUCCCUCCUCUGCACCCCGCUACCCCACCAGGGGGCAAGCAAAUCUCCUUUGUGCUGAGAACUUGGUCUUGCAGCUACCUACCUUUUCAUACUUCCCACGUGUAACAUCAAAUAACCUCUUGUUAAAGAAAAAUCUACAGUGAGUUAAGUUUAACAAAAUGUUUUCAUAUGGAAGUUUAAGGUUUUGUUUUUCAAUUUCAUGAAUAAUUUUAUUGAAAUUUUGACAGCAAUUGUAUUAAAUCUGUAAAUUGCUUUUGGUACGAUGGCUAUUUUCACACUAUUAAUCCUGAGACUGUGAGAACCAGAGGCGGUAGAUGACGAAAAGGAGACAAAAAUUUCCAGACACAAAGCAGGUGCACACAUGAACUCAAAGAGACCGUGACGGCACGCAGCGACCCUCACAGGAUGCGCAUGCCUCCACAGGCUGCACAUGCGCAGGACCGGCACAACUCAGACACAACCCCAGCAGGUGGGGUGGGAGAGCGCACAAAGUCCCACCCAAUCCAAGAAGCUCUUCACAAGUGACAGCUGAUGGCAGAGGAAAAGACAAGCUCCAAGGAGUGAAGCUACACACUUACACCUCAACACCUUCACACCUCUCGUGUUCUAAGCACAGUGUCCACAACAGUUCCAACACUGGAAGACUUGCCUGUCCAUCUGAGUACCAUCAUUAUGAGACAGCAUGUCACUGUUCACUCAGUGACAUUCCCACCUGAAUAUACAGCCUGGAAGGAGCCCCUUGCUCUUCCUGCUGAGAGACCUCCAAGAGCAAACCUGGGCUAAGCCCACAGGUCUCAGGCCCUGUGGAUGGCUCACCUGUAUGAAAGAGCUCAGAAGGCCCCGUCUGUCCAUCUGCAAGAGGUUACCCAAGAAGGGCAGGGGACGAGGUCCUGGUGGGAAGUGGCCAUGGGUCUUUGGCUGACUUUGGCUGACUAAGAAUAUCAAGAAGCCUGUGGUGAGAGCGAGAAGGAGCAGCACACUGAAUUCCAUGGUCCUGGUCUAAUCACUUCUGACUUCAGUGCACACUCCAGCAGGAUCUUUUAUGGUGAACCUGCCCUCCUACUCACUUAUGCAACUCCAGCUAUUCCCGCCUCUGUUCUCAUCAUUGUCCAGGUGUGUGAGCACCCAUACUUCCUGUUUGGGCUGCUGGUGACCUGCUCACUCCCCAUUCCUUUACCCCAACCCUAGAUGUUGGCAAUGACAUCAUGAAAUAGACACACAGGACAAAAGGGCAUUAAGAGGAACAUAUCUUGAUUUCUGCACUUGCCAGCUCAGUUUUAUCUGUUUAUUUACUCAGGCAUGGACCUGUGUGUGCUGCAUAUGUGAAGGAACAUUUCUCUUUUUUUCACUUAUUUAUUUAUUAUUUAAUUAAUUAAAUCAUUUUACAUCCUGA